RNAcentral lists this transfer RNA (73 nucleotides) under Mustela putorius furo (domestic ferret). It matches the Rfam family "tRNA". Rfam says of the family: Transfer RNA (tRNA) molecules are approximately 80 nucleotides in length. Their secondary structure includes four short double-helical elements and three loops (D, anti-codon, and T loops). Further hydrogen bonds mediate the characteristic L-shaped molecular structure. tRNAs have two regions of fundamental functional importance: the anti-codon, which is responsible for specific mRNA codon recognition, and the 3' end, to which the tRNAs corresponding amino acid is attached (by aminoacyl-tRNA synthetases). tRNAs cope with the degeneracy of the genetic code in two manners: having more than one tRNA (with a specific anti-codon) for a particular amino acid; and 'wobble' base-pairing, i.e. permitting non-standard base-pairing at the 3rd anti-codon position. RNAcentral also lists the same sequence under 1 other name. Lineage: Eukaryota; Metazoa; Chordata; Mammalia; Carnivora; Mustelidae. The record is from Rfam by way of RNAcentral.
GCCUGGCUGGCUCAGUCAGUAGAGUAUGUGACUCUUGAUCUCAGGGCUGUAAGUUGGAGCCUCAUGGUGGGCA